This 388-nucleotide ribosomal RNA is filed under the name uncultured bacterium. RNAcentral describes it as "bacterial SSU rRNA". It matches the Rfam family "Bacterial small subunit ribosomal RNA", at positions 983 to 1382 of the family's 1533-position model. The record is from RNAcentral.
GACAUCCCGAUCGUACGGUAUAGAAAUAUACUGGUCAGUUCGGCUGGAUCGGUGACAGGUGUUGCAUGGUCGUCGUCAGCUCGUGUCGUGAGAUGUCGGGUUAAGUCCUUUAACGAGCGCAACCCUCAUUGCAUGUUACUUUUUCAUGCGAGACUGCCCUGGGUUAACAGGGAGGAAGGUGGGGAUGACGUCAGAUCAGCAUGGCCCUUACGCCUUGGGCUACACACGUGUUACAAUGGUCAGUACAAUGGGUCGCAAUACCGUAAGGUGGAGCUAAUCCGUGAAAACUGAUCUCAGUUCGGAUAGAGGGCUGAAACUCGCCCUCUUGAAGUUGGAAUCGCUAGUAAUCGUGGAUCAGCAUGUCACGGUGAAUACGUUCCCGGGUCUU